Molecule: long non-coding RNA, 726 nt
Organism: Plutella xylostella (diamondback moth)
Lineage: Eukaryota; Metazoa; Arthropoda; Insecta; Lepidoptera; Plutellidae
Source: RefSeq, a predicted model, not a curated record
CAGCAGCGGAUGUGCUUGAGUUGCAGAUGGAGCAACUGCGUUGUGAGAGGGCCACGGCUUCAGCCCUCACAAUGAUAGCUGAUUAACUGAAGCAAUGAACAGACAGGCUGCAGUCAAUGAGAGGCUUCUUGAGCAGGGGCUCCUCAUAUGGAAAAAGGCUAAUGAAAGGAACAAUCAAGACUGGCGGUGCGUGGGAGGAUCCCGUCCCUACGCAUGCGCCUGGCCUUCAAUGGCCUCACGCCUCUCUUCUUCCUCUUCUUCAUGCGUCAAUUCAAACAGAGGAGCACCUGUGAUUACUGAUUACCUAAGUUCCUAUAUACAAUAAUAGUUUAAUAAUUGUUAACAAAAUAUUGUAUAUAUAAGUAUUAAUAAUUACUUAUACAAAAGGCUAAAAGCAUUUUGUACCAGCCAACCUAUAGGAGAGAAUAUGAGAAAAAUAAUAAGACUUUAAUCUUUGAUUGCCAUUAUCUGUAGCUUUAUUAAGUGGUAAAGGGACCUAAUUACUACCUAUAUUUUUUAGUAUUUGUGAUAAUUCAUAGAAUUUAUUAGUUCUAUCAAUAAAUAAAAUAUACAUGCAUUACAAUGUGUUUAAUUCAUUAACUUACAAUUUGCACACUGAGGGAAUGUGUAUGCUUUCGGUUAAAAUAUUCUUCCUCAUUCUGCGAGGGCCUCAGGCCAAAACCCACGCCAAUCAAAUAAAUAUCACUAAUACAAGCUUACUAUAAA